Molecule: ribosomal RNA, 1343 nt
Filed under: uncultured bacterium
Lineage: Bacteria
Description: 16S ribosomal RNA
Rfam family: Bacterial small subunit ribosomal RNA
Source: RNAcentral
GACGAACGCUGGCGGCGUGCUUAACACAUGCAAGUCGAACGGAAAGGCCCUGCUUUUGUGGGGUGCUCGAGUGGCGAACGGGUGAGUAACACGUGAGUAACCUGCCCUUGACUUUGGGAUAACUUCAGGAAACUGGGGCUAAUACCGGAUAGGAGCUCCUGCUGCAUGGUGGGGGUUGGAAAGUUUCGGCGGUUGGGGAUGGACUCGCGGCUUAUCAGCUUGUUGGUGGGGUAGUGGCUUACCAAGGCUUUGACGGGUAGCCGGCCUGAGAGGGUGACCGGCCACAUUGGGACUGAGAUACGGCCCAGACUUCUACGGGAGGCAGCAGUGGGGAAUAUUGCACAAUGGGCGGAAGCCUGAUGCAGCAACGCCGCGUGCGGGAUGACGGCCUUCGGGUUGUAAACCGCUUUCGCCUGUGACGAAGCGUGAGUGACGGUAAUGGGUAAAGAAGCACCGGCUAACUACGUGCCAGCAGCCGCGGUGAUACGUAGGGUGCGAGCGUUGUCCGGAUUUAUUGGGCGUAAAGGGCUCGUAGGUGGUUGAUCGCGUCGGAAGUGUAAUCUUGGGGCUUAACCCUGAGCGUGCUUUCGAUACGGGUUGACUUGAGGAAGGUAGGGGAGAAUGGAAUUCCUGGUGGAGCGGUGGAAUGCGCAGAUAUCAGGAGGAACACCAGUGGCGAAGGCGGUUCUCUGGGCCUUUCCUGACGCUGAGGAGCGAAAGCGUGGGGAGCGAACAGGCUUAGAUACCCUGGUAGUCCACGCUGUAAACGGUGGGUACUAGGUGUGGGGUCCAUUCCACGGGUUCCGUGCCGUAGCUAACGCUUUAAGUACCCCGCCUGGGGAGUACGGCCGCAAGGCUAAAACUCAAAGGAAUUGACGGGGCCCCGCACAAGCGGCGGAGCAUGCGGAUUAAUUCGAUGCAACGCGUAGAACCUUACCUGGGUUUGACAUGGAUCGGGAGUGCUCAGAGAUGGGUGUGCCUCUUUUGGGGUCGGUUCACAGGUGGUGCAUGGCUGUCGUCAGCUCGUGUCGUGAGAUGUUGGGUUAAGUCCCGCAACGAGCGCAACCCUUGUUCACUGUUGCCAGCACGUUAUGGUGGGGACUCAGUGGAGACCGCCGGGGUCAACUCGGAGGAAGGUGGGGAUGACGUCAAGUCAUCAUGCCCCUUAUGUCCAGGGCUUCACGCAUGCUACAAUGGCUGGUACAGAGAGUGGCGAGCCUGUGAGGGUGAGCGAAUCUCGGAAAGCCGGUCUCAGUUCGGAUUGGGGUCUGCAACUCGACCUCAUGAAGUCGGAGCCGCUAGUAAUCGCAGAUCAGCAACGCUGCGGUGAAUACGUUCCCGGG